Molecule: transfer RNA, 75 nt
Filed under: Rhodospirillaceae bacterium
Lineage: Bacteria; Pseudomonadati; Pseudomonadota; Alphaproteobacteria; Rhodospirillales; Rhodospirillaceae
Description: tRNA-Thr
Rfam family: tRNA
About the family: Transfer RNA (tRNA) molecules are approximately 80 nucleotides in length. Their secondary structure includes four short double-helical elements and three loops (D, anti-codon, and T loops).
Source: RNAcentral
GCCGCCGUAGCUCAGGGGUAGAGCACACCCUUGGUAAGGGUGGGGUCGAGUGUUCGAUUCACUCCGGCGGCACCA